GGUGAAUAAGCCACGGCUAACUACGUGCCAGCAGCCGCGGUAAUACGUAGGUGGCAAGCGUUGUCCGGAUUUACUGGGUUUAAAGGGUGCGUAGGCGGUUCAAUAAGUCAGUCGUUAAAGGCAGCAGCUUAACUGUUGUAAGGCGAUUGAUACUGUAGGACUUGAAUUAUUUGGAGGUUGUCGGAAUAUGUAGUGUAGCGGUGAAAUGCUCAGAUAUUACGUAGAACGCCGAUUGCGAAGGCAGAUACUAGGAUAGAUUGACGCUGAGGCACGAAAGUGUGGGGAGUCGAACAGGAUUAGAUACCCUGGUAGUCCACACCUGUAAACGAUGAUUACUAGAUGUUG
RNAcentral lists this ribosomal RNA (345 nucleotides) under uncultured Sphingobacteriales bacterium. Its description in RNAcentral is "bacterial SSU rRNA". It matches the Rfam family "Bacterial small subunit ribosomal RNA", at positions 481 to 825 of the family's 1533-position model. Lineage: Bacteria; Pseudomonadati; Bacteroidota; Sphingobacteriia; Sphingobacteriales. The record is from RNAcentral.